GUAGGGUGCAAGCGUUAUCCGGAAUUAUUGGGCGUAAAGCGAUCACAGGUGGACAAGCAGGUCCGGUGUUAAAUACCCACGGCUCAACCGGGGUGCCGCAUCGGAAACCGUUUGACUAGAGGAAGACAAAGGCAGGUGGAAUUUCCAUUGUAGGGGUUAAAUCCGUAGAUAAUGGAAGGAACACCAAAAGCGAAGGCAGCCUGCUGGGUCUUUCCUGACACUGCUUGAUCGAAAGCGUGGGGAGCGAAAGGGAUUAGAUACCCCUGUAGUCCACGCCGUAAACGAUGGAUACUCGAUGUUCGGAGGUUCAAUCCCUCUGAGUGUCUCAGCUAACGCGUUAAGUAUCCCGCCUGGGGAGUACGGCCGCAAGGCUA
Molecule: ribosomal RNA, 374 nt
Filed under: uncultured bacterium
Lineage: Bacteria
Description: bacterial SSU rRNA
Rfam family: Bacterial small subunit ribosomal RNA
Source: RNAcentral